GGGAACGCCGGCGCCAGGCAGAGGGGGCAUCAUGGCCGUGGGGCUCCUCCUUCGCCCGGGCCGGGGGGCACAGGGUCCCGGCAAGGAGCAGUUGUCACACCGGGGCUUUUGUUGUGGGGAGCCGGCUGGGCCUAGCAGAGGAGAGCUGGGAACCGGAGCUGGGGGGGUGUAAACAAAGGAGAGGGUCAGCAGUGGGGUGAAAACAGUGCAGGGCAAAGGCAGCAUGAGGUGAAGGCAGUGCAUGGGCAAAGGCAGUGUGAAGUGAAGGCAGUGCGGGGCAAAGGCAGUGCGGGGCAAAGGCAGUGCGAGGUGAAGGCAGUGCGAGGUGAAGGCAGUGCGAGGUGAAGGCAGUGCGGGGCAAAGGCAGCGUGAGGUGAAGGCAGUGCGGGGCAAAGGCAGCGUGAGGUGAAGGCAGUGCGGGGCAAAAGCAGCGUGAGGUGAAGGCAGUGCGGGGCAAAGGCAGCGUGAGGUGAAGGCAGUGCGGGGCAAAGGCAGCGUGAGGUGAAGGCAGUGUGGGGCAAAGGCAGCGUGAGGUGAAGGCAGUGCGGGGCAAAGGCAGCGUGAGGUGAAGGCAGUGCGGGGCAAAGGCAGCAUGAGGUGAUGGCACUGCGGGGCAAAGGCAGAGUGAGGUGAUGGCACUGCGGGGCAAAGGCAGCGUGAGGUGAUGGCACUGCGGGGCAAAGGCAGCGUGAGGUGAAGGCAGUGCGGGGCAAAGGCAGCGUGAGGUGAAGGCAGUGCGGGGCAAAGGCAGCGUGAGGUGAUGGCAGUGCGGGGCGAAGGCAGCGUGAGGCGAAGGCAGUGCGGGGCGAAGGCAGCGUGAGGCGAAGGCGGUCAGGGUGAAGGCAGAGUGGGGUGAAGGCAGUUCCUCUCCACUCUCGUUUGGCUUUUUUUUUUGUCUCCCUGUGACCUCGUCUUGAGGUUUCACAGAGCUCUGUGUCUCUGUAGGUGUAAACCUACCUGGCUGCUAGACCCGCCCCCUUGCUCUGUGAGUCUCACCCCACCUGGGAAUAUCCCGCACACCCCAUCUUCACAUUUCCUAUUUCAUUUGCACCGGAAGUACAGCCUUUUUUAAAUUCACUCUCAUGUUCUCUUGUGGUGGGAGGGGAGGACUGAGGCGGGGGAAUGGACCCGCACACCGGUGCUAUCCCCCCCCCCGCCUGGCUCUACUGCUGUGCUGGGUUUCUUGGGGACACACUCUUCCUUCCCAUAAUGCCCUGCUCCUGGACUCCCUGUUUAUCUGCAGACGCGUGCACACACACACACACACACACACCCCCACUGAAGGAGUGAUUGUGCAUUCAUUGGAAUGAUGGCAGUGGGGGGGGGUGGCUGAUGGAGAGCAGGGCCAGGAGGAGAGUAGGAGGUGGGGGAGGGGAGUCGGUGAGCCCAACAGAGCCUGUUUGUGGGCUGAAUGACUCUGACUCUGCUCUGGAGUGCAAGCGUGGCCCCUGGGAGUCUUUAAGGUUGUCUGGGGGGGCCGGGAGGGGUAGUGUGUUCCACUCGCCUCCUCUCGCCACGCCUGGGAGGGAGCCUGUCCUGCUGCACUGUGGAUGGAUGCGCGGGGGUUGCUGGGGGGGCGUCCAGCUCAGUGACCACAUGGGAGUUCGCCCCUCUUGCAGGAAGUCAGGAGCAGAGCCACCCACUAGCAGCACAGAGCAGUGCCGGCAGUAGCAGGCUGCCCAUAUAUAUAUAUAUAUAUAUGUGUGUGUGUGUGUGUGUGUGUGUGUGUGUGUGUGUGUGUGUGUGCGUGUCCGUAUAUGAGUGUGCCCGUGUGUGUCUGUAUAUGACUGUGUCCAUGUGUG
Molecule: long non-coding RNA, 1802 nt
Organism: Brienomyrus brachyistius
Lineage: Eukaryota; Metazoa; Chordata; Actinopteri; Osteoglossiformes; Mormyridae
Exons: 3
Source: RefSeq, a predicted model, not a curated record